Molecule: RNA transcript, 611 nt
Organism: Glossina fuscipes
Lineage: Eukaryota; Metazoa; Arthropoda; Insecta; Diptera; Glossinidae
Gene: Lamtor2
Gene name: ragulator complex protein LAMTOR2 homolog
Exons: 4
Source: RefSeq, a predicted model, not a curated record
AGUGCUUCUUCUUACGAAGUGAUAAACAUUGGAGGCAUAUUUUGGAAAAUAGAAUCGAUAAUAUAUGUAAAUAUUUUAAAAACUAGAAAAACAAUGUUAAAACCAAAAGCUUUAACUCAAGUGCUAAGUCAAGCGAAUACUGGGGGUGUUCAGAACACAUUAUUACUCAGCCAAGAAGGCGCUUUACUGGCAUAUUCUGGAUAUGGUGAUAAGGAUAAGGAUGCUAGAGUAACGGCGGCCAUUGCUAGUAAUAUCUGGGCUGCUUAUGAAAAACACGGUCGUAAUGCUUUUCGCGAAGACAUUUUAACAUUUGUACUCUUGGACUGUGAGUGCGGUCAUGUAGCCAUAACUCAGGUCGCAGGCAUCUUAUUAUGUUUAUAUGCUAAAGAAUGUGUAGGACUUGGCUUGUUAAAACAGAAGACGAUGGCUUUGGCAACGUAUUUAGAAGGCCCGUUAAAGCAAAUAGCAGCCUCUUAAAAGCCAUUGACUAUCGGGACUUUGCUUUAUUCCUUACCGUAUUUAAUAAAUAUUUACAAUAACUAAUUUGGCUGCAUGAACUGUCCAUUACUUAUUCAACAGCAUAUAACUUAAGAGUACGAUCCAUACUUGUC